UAUUGGUGGUGUGGACACUCCCUUAGAAGAACCUUGAAUCUCUCUCAUGCAUGAUAUAAAUUCUCAUUUGACUUUUGUUUAAAACUCAGGAUCUCACUCCUUAACCU
This is a non-coding RNA of Capsicum annuum, 107 nucleotides long. The record is from Rfam. Lineage: Eukaryota; Viridiplantae; Streptophyta; Magnoliopsida; Solanales; Solanaceae.